This 365-nucleotide ribosomal RNA is filed under the name uncultured phototrophic eukaryote. RNAcentral describes it as "SSU rRNA". It matches the Rfam family "Bacterial small subunit ribosomal RNA", at positions 524 to 896 of the family's 1533-position model. The record is from RNAcentral.
GACGGAGGAUGCAAGUAUUAUCCGGAAUCACUGGGCGUAAAGCGUCUGUAGGUGGUUUAGUAAGUCUAUUGUUAAAUCUUGAGGCUCAACUUCAAAUCAGCGAUGGAAACUGCUAGACUAGAGUGUGGUAGAGGUAAGAGGAAUUUCCAGUGGAGCGGUGAAAUGCGUAGAUAUUGGAAAGAACACCGAUGGCGAAGGCAUCUUACUGGGCCAUAACUGACACUCAGAGACGAAAGCUAGGGUAGCAAAAGGGAUUAGAUACCCCUGUAGUCCUAGCCGUAAACGAUGGAUACUAGAUGUUGUGCUUCGCAGUAUCGUAGCUAACGCGUUAAGUAUCCCGCCUGGGGAGUACGCUCGCAAGGGUG